RNAcentral lists this small nuclear RNA (104 nucleotides) under Sciurus vulgaris (Eurasian red squirrel). The record is from RNAcentral. Lineage: Eukaryota; Metazoa; Chordata; Mammalia; Rodentia; Sciuridae.
GUGCUCGCUUUGGCAGCGCAUAUACUAAAAUUGGAACGAUACAGAGAUUAGCACGGUCCCUGUGCAAGAAUGACAUGCAAAUUCAUGAAGCGUUCCAUACUUUU